RNAcentral lists this transfer RNA (71 nucleotides) under Ovis aries (sheep). It matches the Rfam family "tRNA". From Rfam's summary of the family: Transfer RNA (tRNA) molecules are approximately 80 nucleotides in length. Their secondary structure includes four short double-helical elements and three loops (D, anti-codon, and T loops). The record is from Rfam by way of RNAcentral. Lineage: Eukaryota; Metazoa; Chordata; Mammalia; Artiodactyla; Bovidae.
UCCCUGGUGGCUCAGCGGUAAAGAAUCUGCUUGCAGUGCAGGAGACCUGGGUUCAAUCCCUGGGUUGGGAA